GAUGAACGCUGGCGGCGUGCCUAAUACAUGCAAGUCGAGCGAACAGACGAGGAGCUUGCUCCUCUGACGUUAGCGGCGGACGGGUGAGUAACACGUGGAUAACCUACCUAUAAGACUGGGAUAACUUCGGGAAACCGGAGCUAAUACCGGAUAAUAUAUUGAACCGCAUGGUUCAAUAGUGAAAGACGGUUUUGCUGUCACUUAUAGAUGGAUCCGCGCGGCAUUAGCUAGUUGGUAAGGUAACGGCUUACCAAGGCAACGAUGCGUAGCCGACCUGAGAGGGUGAUCGGCCACACUAGAACUGAGACACGGUCCAGACUCCUACGGGAGGCAGCAGUAGGGAAUCUUCCGCAAUGGGCGAAAGCCUGACGGAGCAACGCCGCGUGAGUGAUGAAGGUCUUCGGAUCGUAAAACUCUGUUAUUAGGGAAGAACAAAUGUGUAAGUAACUAUGCACGUCUUGACGGUACCUAAUCAGAAAGCCACGGCUAACUACGUG
RNAcentral lists this ribosomal RNA (497 nucleotides) under uncultured bacterium. Its description in RNAcentral is "partial 16S ribosomal RNA". It matches the Rfam family "Bacterial small subunit ribosomal RNA", at positions 28 to 507 of the family's 1533-position model. The record is from RNAcentral.